This 377-nucleotide long non-coding RNA is filed under the name Elaeis guineensis (African oil palm). Its description in RNAcentral is "long non-coding RNA (EGUI_LNC081049)". The record is from RNAcentral. Lineage: Eukaryota; Viridiplantae; Streptophyta; Magnoliopsida; Arecales; Arecaceae.
AGUCUUUUAGGAAAACCAUUUUAGGCAUAAAGAUUGGUUACAGACAAAUUUAAGAGGAAAAUCCAUGAAGUAGCAGCUGUUACUCAGCAGCUAGGCUUCAUGGUAUCAGUGCACUACCAGGUCCUAAGCUGAAAAAGAUCAUUACUCAAGCCCGUUCCAUUUGAUGAAGCACAGACCUCCAGUUUUUAUCUUCAUCUGUUGCACAAUCCAAACCAUCUUAAAUGAUUCUCUUGCAAAUAUAUCUCCAAACUGCAAUCCAAUGUCUGCCAAUAGUCAUAAGACAUGUAGGAAUAAUCUUUUUAUAUCAAAAAAAAGACAUAAGAACAAUCUUAACAGCUUCUGAUACACCAUUUCUAACCCACCCUGAUUUUAUUAAC